UGGGGAAUUUUGGACAAUGGGGGAAACCCUGAUCCAGCCAUCCCGCGUGUGCGAUGAAGGCCUUCGGGUUGUAAAGCACUUUUGGCAGGAAAGAAACGUCGCGGGUUAAUACCCCGCGAAACUGACGGUACCUGCAGAAUAAGCACCGGCUAACUACGUGCCAGCAGCCGCGGUAAUACGUAGGGUGCAAGCGUUAAUCGGAAUUACUGGGCGUAAAGCGUGCGCAGGCGGUUCGGAAAGAAAGAUGUGAAAUCCCAGAGCUUAACUUUGGAACUGCAUUUUUAACUACCGGGCUAGAGUGUGUCAGAGGGAGGUGGAAUUCCGCGUGUAGCAGUGAAUGCGUAGAUAUGCGGAGGAACACCGAUGGCGAAGGCAGCCUCCUGGGAUAACACUGACGCUCAUGCACGAAAGCGUGGGGAGCAAACAGGAUUAGAUACCCUGGUAGUCCACGCCCUAAACGAUGUCAACUAGCUGUUGGGGCCUUCGGGCCUUGGUAGCGCAGCUAACGCGUGAAGUUGACCGCCUGGGGAGUACGGUCGCAAGAUUAAAACUCAAAUGAAUUGACGGGGUCAUAGCUGUUUCCUG
This 585-nucleotide ribosomal RNA is filed under the name uncultured bacterium. Its description in RNAcentral is "partial 16S ribosomal RNA". It matches the Rfam family "Bacterial small subunit ribosomal RNA", at positions 355 to 1376 of the family's 1533-position model. The record is from RNAcentral.